UACGAAGGGGGCUAGCGUUGCUCGGAAUCACUGGGCGUAAAGGGUGCGUAGGCGGGUCUUUAAGUCAGGGGUGAAAUCCUGGAGCUCAACUCCAGAACUGCCUUUGAUACUGGAGAUCUUGAGUCCGGGAGAGGUGAGUGGAACUGCGAGUGUAGAGGUGAAAUUCGUAGAUAUUCGCAAGAACACCAGUGGCGAAGGCGGCUCACUGGCCCGGAACUGACGCUGAGACGCGAAAGCGUGGGGAGCAAACAGG
RNAcentral lists this ribosomal RNA (253 nucleotides) under uncultured bacterium. RNAcentral's name for it is "partial 16S ribosomal RNA". It matches the Rfam family "Bacterial small subunit ribosomal RNA", at positions 524 to 776 of the family's 1533-position model. The record is from RNAcentral.